RNAcentral lists this transfer RNA (87 nucleotides) under Ruminococcus sp. Its description in RNAcentral is "tRNA-Leu". The record is from RNAcentral. Lineage: Bacteria; Bacillati; Bacillota; Clostridia; Eubacteriales; Oscillospiraceae.
GCAGGUAUGGCAGAAUUGGCAGACACGUAUGGUUCAGGUACAUAUGAAUGCAAAUUCAUGCAGGUUCAAGUCCUGCUCUCCGCACCA